GGGGAGAGCUGGCUGAGGCAUUCUUAGGGACCUCUUGUACAGUGCCUGGGAGCUGCAUUAACCUUCUGCUUGUCUGAGCCACACUACAGGUAUUCCUGUGUCCAGGUUGUUGAUCCCAACCUUAACUUGCUAACAUGAGCUAUCAGCUUGACCUACAGACUUGCUUGUUGAUAUCUGGGCUCCGCUGAUUUUAGUUACAGUCUAUGGACUUGCUCUGCUCACCUCAUUUGGAUGCUAUGGGAAUGGGCACUUAUUAGGUCUCAGCACUCAACUCUGCUUCCUGCAACCCUGCAGUAGCCCUCACUGUAGCCUGGUGAGGUAAAACCAGGAGGUAAGAGUUGGAGGAAGAUUGUUCUCAGCUGGUAAGAAGCUAGAAGCAGUUGUAUCUUGAAGCCAAUCUAUGAAGAAAUAUUUUCUCUGCUCAAGAAAUUUGCCAGCAGGGAUAAUAAAAGCAAUCAUUGAUGUGAAGUUUUGUGGACCAACAAAACUUCAGGUGAAUGGGAACCUGUGAAUGCUGAAACAUCAUAAACAGCACUACAAUUCAUCACCAGAGAGUUGUGUGCAGCUCAGUGUGCCUGACCCAAGACUCAGAUCUGAGCACCUGCCCAUUUUGGGGAAGUGAAGCAUCUGGCACAGCCUUCAGAGCUGAGAGUUGUCUUUAUUGUGGGCUCUGGCAAACUUCAGAUUUGAAUUACCUGGCACUGUGGGGAAGUAGGAACUCGGCAGUUGUCCCUUCAAAGUGUUAUACUACAAAUGUUGGACUGUUGUAGCUGAGGAUGAAUUGGAUAAGAAAACUAUACUGAUAACAGUGCACAUCUCUUUGAUACAAGAACACCUUGAAAUUCUGUCUAGCUAACCCCAUUGUGGCUACAUACAUUAUUUCUGCAAAAGACUCCUCACUAGAUGAUUGUGAUUCCCUAAAACAUGGAGAUGUAGAAUACUUGGCUACAUGACAAACAUUUGUACUCACAAGGGUAGUGCAAAAAAAUGUGGAUUAUAUAGAUUAUAAUGUUGGUAUGGAAUAGCUAUAAAAGACUGGAGUGAGAUUCUAAAUGAGAUUUCUGUGUAAUGUUCUCUUUAUGUCAAGGCUAGUUAUUCACUUUCUGGAGGAAAUGCUUACCUCUUGGUUACAGUUUGUCAAGGCUUUUGGGGAUAUUAGCAUGUUACUUUGAAGAUGGCCGUGCUAGUUUUCUGAGUUUUUUGUUGGAAUUCUAAGUGCUGAAUAUUACAAAUAAUCUCUGGAAACUACAUAUAAGUACUCUUACAGAAUUCAGUGAUCUUCCAAAGAAUUUUCUGAGAAAACCAAAGAAUUUUCUGAUGAGUGUGACUUGGGAGCUUAAUCUUGCUAUUUUGUUAUCCUAGGAUGGCUGAUUUAUUUUGUCCAUAUGAUUUCAAGUGCAAUUUCAGUUACCUAUGAAAAGUUUGAUGAAGUCACUGGGAACUGGAUGGACCAAGAACAGCUCUCGAUCCUUAUUGUUUAGAAUUGAGCAAGUCCAAUAGGUCUUCAAUUUUAUGUAGAAAAAAAUAUAUAUAGGUGAAGUUUCAAGGAUAAACAGAUCUUUAGUCUUCAAAAUACAAUGGAAGACAAAUCAAAUCUACAGUAGUAAAUUCCUACAAAAUGAAUUCAGAAAUGAGAAGUUUGUGGCUUCCAAAAUCAGACAUAAGUACUCAAAAUGAUAGGUGAGUGUGUAAGAAAAGAAAACAUUUCUGUAAGCAUGUAUUCAAUAUUUAUAUAAUGUAUCCGUAUGCAUGUAUAUAUAUUUAGUUUUA
This is a long non-coding RNA of Phasianus colchicus (ring-necked pheasant), 1770 nucleotides long. NCBI's taxonomy places the organism in Eukaryota, Metazoa, Chordata, Aves, Galliformes, Phasianidae. The record is from Ensembl.